This 431-nucleotide ribosomal RNA is filed under the name uncultured bacterium. RNAcentral describes it as "partial 16S ribosomal RNA". It matches the Rfam family "Bacterial small subunit ribosomal RNA", at positions 29 to 507 of the family's 1533-position model. The record is from RNAcentral.
AGCGAACGCUGGCGGCAGGCUUAACACAUGCAAGUCGAGCGCCCCGCAAGGGGCGCGGCAGACGGGAGAGUAACACGUGGGAACAUACCUUUUGGUUCGGAACAACUGAGGGAAACUUCAGCUAAUACCGGAUAAGCCCUUACGGGGAAAGAUUUAUCGCCGAAAGAUUGGCCCGCGUCUGAUUAGCUAGUUGGUGAGGUAACGGCUCACCAAGGCGACGAUCAGUAGCUGGUCUGAGAGGAUGAUCAGCCUCACUGGGACUGAGACACGGCCCAGACUCCUACGGGAGGCAGCAGUGGGGAAUAUUGGACAAUGGGGGCAACCCUGAUCCAGCCAUGCCGCGUGAGUGAUGAAGGCCUUAGGGUUGUAAAGCUCUUUUGCCCGGGAAGAUAAUGACGGUACCGGGAGAAUAAGCCCCGGCUAACUUCGUG